GCCCGAGUGGCGGAAUUGGCAGACGCGCACGACUCAAAAUCGUGUGGAUUUCAUCCAUGAGAGUUCGAGUCUCUCCUCGGGCA
Molecule: transfer RNA, 83 nt
Filed under: bacterium
Lineage: Bacteria
Description: tRNA-Leu
Rfam family: tRNA
About the family: Transfer RNA (tRNA) molecules are approximately 80 nucleotides in length. Their secondary structure includes four short double-helical elements and three loops (D, anti-codon, and T loops).
Source: RNAcentral